This 164-nucleotide ribosomal RNA is filed under the name Mauritia flexuosa. RNAcentral describes it as "5.8S ribosomal RNA". It matches the Rfam family "5.8S ribosomal RNA". From Rfam's summary of the family: 5.8S ribosomal RNA (5.8S rRNA) is a component of the large subunit of the eukaryotic ribosome. It is transcribed by RNA polymerase I as part of the 45S precursor that also contains 18S and 28S rRNA. Functionally, it is thought that 5.8S rRNA may be involved in ribosome translocation. Lineage: Eukaryota; Viridiplantae; Streptophyta; Magnoliopsida; Arecales; Arecaceae. The record is from RNAcentral.
GGUACGACUCUCAGUAAUGGAUAUCUCAUCCCUCACAUCGAUGAAGAAUGUAGUGAAAUGCAAUACAUGGUGUGAAUUACAGAAUCCUAUGAGCCAUCAAGUCUUUAAAUGCAAGUUGCACCUGAGGACAUCCGACUGAGGGCAUGCCUACCUGAGCGUCAUGC